Molecule: long non-coding RNA, 646 nt
Organism: Xenia sp. Carnegie-2017
Lineage: Eukaryota; Metazoa; Cnidaria; Anthozoa; Malacalcyonacea; Xeniidae
Exons: 3
Source: RefSeq, a predicted model, not a curated record
AGCAGUCGUAUCAAGCAGAAUGCAUGGAGGAACUAAGUUGCACUCAAUCUAAGACAAGUUCCUGACACAAAUUACUCCAAAGAAGGUUGGAAGUGAGGGGGAAGGGCUUCUCACUCAUACGUGCUCAUCAAGUGUGAAUCAGAAAUUGUGCUCUUACGUAUCAACGGCAGACUCGUCUAUCGACGAAUGGAAGCUUUGUUUAGUCGAGAGACCUUGGUUGGGUAUUCAGUAUAUCUCGAAUCUGGAAUGCCAUUAUUUACAUAUCAUAUGAUACAAUUACAUAGAAAUCGCGACAUAUUGACAACAAUGUGAAUUUCUGAAGAAAUAUUUAAAAUUCAAACAAACCCCGGGGGGUAAAUAAUUUCUUGUUGUUUUAGCUGUAUAUUAGGUUAAUUCUCUUAUGUAAAAAGUUAACAAUGAAGAUAGAACAGUGAAAACAUUUAUUUGCAUUUCAUUCAACAGAAACCAAUUCUGAGCGGGCUUAGUAUUUUCAAUGAAAAUAUAGCGUGAUCAAAUUGAAUUAUACUAAAGAUUGUCAUAGAAUUUUUAAUUAUAUGUGUAUAAUGUAAACAUACUUCAAAUGUCGAUGCUAAAGUCGAGUUAUUGUUAUGAAAAUUUCAACUAUGUGCAAUGUAUUCACCACAAA